ACCCAGCUGACGAGUCCCAAAUAGGACGAAAUGCGCAUCAAACUGGAC
Schistosoma rodhaini is the source of this 48-nucleotide non-coding RNA. NCBI's taxonomy places the organism in Eukaryota, Metazoa, Platyhelminthes, Trematoda, Strigeidida, Schistosomatidae. The record is from Rfam.